This 485-nucleotide ribosomal RNA is filed under the name uncultured bacterium. RNAcentral's name for it is "bacterial SSU rRNA". It matches the Rfam family "Bacterial small subunit ribosomal RNA", at positions 30 to 507 of the family's 1533-position model. The record is from RNAcentral.
UUGAACGCUGGCGGCAUGCUUUACACAUGCAAGUCGAACGGCAGCACGGGUGCUUGCACCUGGUGGCGAGUGGCGAACGGGUGAGUGAUGCAUCGGAACGUGCCCAUGAGUGGGGGAUAGCCCGGCGAAAGCCGGAUUAAUACCGCAUACGCCCUUAGGGGGAAAGCGGGGGAUCUUCGGACCUCGCGCUAUUGGAGCGGCCGAUGUCGGAUUAGCUAGUAGGUGAGGUAAAGGCUCACCUAGGCGACGAUCCGUAGCUGGUCUGAGAGGAUGAUCAGCCACACUGGGACUGAGACACGGCCCAGACUCCUACGGGAGGCAGCAGUGGGGAAUUUUGGACAAUGGGCGCAAGCCUGAUCCAGCCAUGCCGCGUGAGUGAAGAAGGCCUUCGGGUUGUAAAGCUCUUUCAGGUGGAAAGAAAUAGCGCUGUUUAAUAGAUGGCGUUGAUGACGGUACCACCAGAAGAAGCACCGGCUAACUACGUG